Molecule: unclassified non-coding RNA, 337 nt
Filed under: soil metagenome
Description: partial contains 5.8S ribosomal RNA, internal transcribed spacer 2, and large subunit ribosomal RNA
Rfam family: 5.8S ribosomal RNA (bases 1-120)
Source: RNAcentral
GAUGAAGAACUCAGCGAAAUGCGAUAAGUAAUGUGAAUUGCAGAAUUCAGUGAAUCAUCGAAUCUUUGAACGCACAUUGCGCCCGCCAGUAUUCUGGCGGGCAUGCCUGUUCGAGCGUCAUUUCAACCAUCAAGCCCCCGGGCUUGUGUUGGGGACCUGCGGCUGCCGCAGGCCCUGAAAAGCAGUGGCGGGCUCGCUGUCACACCGAGCGUAGUAGAUUUUAUCUCGCUCUGGGCGUGCUGCGGGUUCCGGCCGUUAAACCACCCUUUUAACCCAAGGUUGACCUCGGAUCAGGUAGGAAGACCCGCUGAACUUAAGCAUAUCAAUAAGCGGAGGA